Molecule: ribosomal RNA, 465 nt
Filed under: Vreelandella stevensii
Lineage: Bacteria; Pseudomonadati; Pseudomonadota; Gammaproteobacteria; Oceanospirillales; Halomonadaceae
Description: partial 16S ribosomal RNA
Rfam family: Bacterial small subunit ribosomal RNA
Source: RNAcentral
CCUACGGGAGGCAGCAGUGGGGAAUAUUGGACAAUGGGGGGAACCCUGAUCCAGCCAUGCCGCGUGUGUGAAGAAGGCCCUCGGGUUGUAAAGCACUUUCAGUGAGGAAGAACGCCUGGUGGUUAAUACCCAUCAGGAAAGACAUCACUCACAGAAGAAGCACCGGCUAACUCCGUGCCAGCAGCCGCGGUAAUACGGAGGGUGCGAGCGUUAAUCGGAAUUACUGGGCGUAAAGCGCGCGUAGGUGGCUUGAUAAGCCGGUUGUGAAAGCCCCGGGCUCAACCUGGGAACGGCAUCCGGAACUGUCGAGCUAGAGUGCAGGAGAGGAAGGUAGAAUUCCCGGUGUAGCGGUGAAAUGCGUAGAGAUCGGGAGGAAUACCAGUGGCGAAGGCGGCCUUCUGGACUGACACUGACACUGAGGUGCGAAAGCGUGGGUAGCAAACAGGAUUAGAUACCCCUGUAGUC